RNAcentral lists this ribosomal RNA (253 nucleotides) under uncultured bacterium. RNAcentral describes it as "partial 16S ribosomal RNA". It matches the Rfam family "Bacterial small subunit ribosomal RNA", at positions 524 to 776 of the family's 1533-position model. The record is from RNAcentral.
UACGUAGGGUGCGAGCGUUGUCCGGAAUUACUGGGCGUAAAGAGCUUGUAGGUGGUUUGUCGCGUUGUCCGUGAAAACUCACAACUCAAUUGUGGGCGUGCGGGCGAUACGGGCAGACUGGAGUACUGCAGGGGAGACUGGAAUUCCUGGUGUAGCGGUGGAAUGCGCAGAUAUCAGGAGGAACACCGGUGGCGAAGGCGGGUCUCUGGGCAGUAACUGACGCUGAGGAGCGAAAGCGUGGGGAGCGAACAGG